RNAcentral lists this ribosomal RNA (468 nucleotides) under uncultured bacterium. RNAcentral describes it as "partial 16S ribosomal RNA". It matches the Rfam family "Bacterial small subunit ribosomal RNA", at positions 28 to 507 of the family's 1533-position model. The record is from RNAcentral.
GACGAACGCUGGCGGCGUGCUUAACACAUGCAAGUCGAACGGAAAGGCCCUGCUUUUGUGGGGUGCUCGAGUGGCGAACGGGUGAGUAACACGUGAGUAACCUGCCCUUGACUUUGGGAUAACUUCAGGAAACUGGGGCUAAUACCGGAUAUGAGCUCCUGCUGCAUGGUGGGGGUUGGAAAGUUUCGGCGGUUGGGUAUGGACUCGCGGCUUAUCAGCUUGUUGGUGGGGUAGUGGCUUACCAAGGCUUUGACGGGUAGCCGGCCUGAGAGGGUGACCGGCGACAUUGGGACUAAGAGACGGCGCAGAAUGCUACGGGAGGCAGCAGUGGAGAAUAUUGCAGAGUAGGCGGAAGCGUGAGGCAGAAACGCCGCGUGCGGGAUGACGGGCUACGGGUUGAAAACCGAUUUCGAAGGAGACGAAGCGUGAGUGACGGUAAUGGGUAAAGAAGCAACGGCUAACUACGUG